Molecule: long non-coding RNA, 25195 nt
Filed under: Eucalyptus grandis
Lineage: Eukaryota; Viridiplantae; Streptophyta; Magnoliopsida; Myrtales; Myrtaceae
Description: long non-coding RNA (EGRA_LNC003217)
Source: RNAcentral
UACGACGUGUUCCUGAGUUUCAGAGGCCCCGACACUCGCGACACCUUCACCGACUACCUCUACCGGACCAUGAUCGGCCCGGGGAUCGCCACCUACAGAGACGGCGAACCGCUCUUCUCGAGUGGCAAUGCUUCGAGCGCUCGGUGCCUCCGCGAGCUCGCUCGAGUGACGGAGCUCGACGAAGCGUAAGUAAAUGCUUAUUAAUGGACCUUUUUUCAAGCGUCAGCCGAAAUGCUAUUCUCUUAAAGUUCUUGUAAAUGGCAGUGAAAACUAGCUGGAGUGGUUCAAAAAUUCGACAGGAAAUAUAUUGGUCGAUGCGUCAUAUGCAAACCGGAUUUUGAUAUCUGAGCAGUAAAUUUCAUUUCUNNNNNNNNNNNNNNNNNNNNNNNNNNNNNNNNNNNNNNNNNNNNNNNNNNNNNNNNNNNNNNNNNNNNNNNNNNNNNNNNNNNNNNNNNNNNNNNNNNNNUAUAAUAAAACAAAAAUAAAACAGAGACAAUUCACCAAUUCUCAUACAUAAGCAGUGCCAUUAUGGCUACUGAUAGUUACAGGAGUGAAUUGGAUCUUGUUCUAGAAUGAUGUCUGUAAUCUGGACGGCAAAGAAGCUUCUUCUUUCUCAGUAAUAGGGGGAAAUUGCCGGUUUAUCUGGGACUUGAAAUAGUGAUCCAAGUCAAAUGCUAUCUGCUAGGAAGUAGUAGUGAGAUUGUUAUUUGUUUUCUUUUACUAAAAGUGUUUGGUUUGCAGCAGAAACGGUGAAGCCAUUGAGCACGAUUUGAAACAGGUUGUGCUUAAGCUGAGUGGAAACAAAAGACCUCUUGGCAGCACAUUUUUAAGUUGGGAAGUGGGUCAGACCUCUGGGGUAGACGAUAAGAGUGUCAGACGAAGGAUCACCUCAUGGCAAAAGGGUGAGAUGUUGGGAAGGGGGUCAUUUGGAGAUGUCUAUAAAGGCUUCAGCGAGUAAGAUUCCUUUGCUUUUCUCUUUGAUAAUCAGUAAGUUAUUCUUGCUAUAAGCAUUUUCUGGGGAAAAGUACAAUCGGACUUCUCCCAUUAUGAUGUUCACUUGCAGUUUUGUUGCAUUUCUGAGUGCUGCAUUCUGUGGUUGGAAUUAGGAUGACUUCUGUAUACUGUAGAACGCGUUAUCAUUUGGUUGACAUAAGGUGCCUUAAAUAGACAUGGCAAAUGGUUAUUCAAUUGCUUAAAGUGCUCGAUCUUCAUAUUUGGAUUGGAGUUCUAAGAUUAUUGGUAUUUUCCUUAUUGAAGACCAUUCUUGAUCAUCAAACAAAUUGAUGAAGUACAGAUCUAGUACAUUAAAUCACGUAAGUUUAGUUGUCCAUUGUUUUUCUGUACCGUUACUAGCUUGAAUAAUGAGCAAUUCUUUUGUUCUAUUUUCAAAAAAUGGAUAGCAUGAUGAAUCAGCAUGUAUUUAGAAACCAUUAUUCUAUUGUAAAUUCAAAUGUUGAAAGCUAGGGAACUAUUUUAGUUAUAUUGAUGAGAGCAUCUCUUUUUUUUUUUCUUCUUUAUAUCAUCUGGAGUGCAAGAAUUAUCUAAACUAUGUCUGAUCAAGGCAUCAUUCAUGAAAGAAUUGGCAUUUAUAUUCUGUCUUUCUCUCACGCUUCUCUGUUUCCACAGUGAAGGAUUCUUUUUUGCUGUAAAGGAGGUGUGUUUCUUAGAUCAAGGAAGCCACGGCAAGGAGAGCUUGUCGCAAGUAAAAGCUUUUUCUUUCUGUAAUUUGUCAACUGGUCGCUAGGCAUAUACAACCAUAAAUCUGUUGCGAGUUAAUAGAUUUUAUUUUGACUCUUUUUUUAGUGAUGCUCUGCUUUCUUUUCAGGAAAUUUCUAUUUUAAAUCAGCUUCAACAUGAGAACAUAGUUCAAUAUUAGGGCACUAAGGAGGUGUGUUCCUUCUUUCUAAGUUGCUUUCUGCAGUAUCUUUCACUUUGGCUUCGAUUAUGAUACCACCGGAACUGAGCAAAAUGUUUAGGUGGACAUGGCUGUGAUCGCAGCCACAAGAUAGUUGUAUUUCCAUCAUCACUGCAUGAAUAAGAUCACAGCAGUUGCGGCCUUUUAGCAGUAACGGCCUAAAUGACAGACAGACAUUUUAGGUCGUCCUCCCCCCACAAGAAAAGUUUGUGAUGAAUUGACUAUCACCCGAGAUAGUAAUUAUAUGACUAAAGAACAUACACAGAGUAGAGGUCAGUUUAUGGAGUCUCCCUCUCUCUAUGAAAGCAGUUUUUUCUCUCCCAUCUAAAGAGAGCUGUCAUGUAAUCAACCCUUUCUUUUCUAGUGGUGGAUGAUAUACAAAUUAUUUAUUUUGCAAACUGAAGAUUCAGGUCAAACUCUCAGGACUAAAAAAGAGGAAUCUGAGGCUUAGAGAAAUGGCAGCCUCGGCUAAUAAAACAUAAAGGGAAAAAGGAUAAGAAAAUGAAGUCAUUUAAUUCAUUAGAUAUCCUUUAAUUGACCAUCUGAUACUCCACAUGACUAAAAUGCCAACCUCCUUUCCCUUGUCUAUAACUGGUUGUGGCUGUAGCAACAACAAUGGAGUUCCUCCACAAGCCCAAUUUUUCCUUCAAUUCUAGUCCAGCAUCAAUUAGUUCCACUCAUUUUUAUGCAACAUCAUAGAGUUCUUUACCUCUGCAAGUAGAGAAGACGGAAAUUGGAAAUGAUCCUUGUUCAAGUGAGGGAUAUAUAUCCUUCUUAGUGGCUUUAAUGUUCAAGUACCUUCCAGUAAUUCUUUUAUAAACAUAGUUUCGCAAGAAGCAUCAGAUUCUGGGAAAGUGCCAUGUCGUAACUUCUUGUUGGACAUGAAACGUGUCAAGCAAAAUUUGGUUUGCUAGACCUACAAUCUACUACAUUUUGUGGGAAUGAGGGAUUAAUGCAACAUGACUUCUUCUGCCAGGUGCACUAUGCAACUGUUUUUGUUGGCACUGUUGCAAUUUAAAACCAUGGUGACUUGGAUAUUUGUGUUUUAUGAAGAAACCAACAAAAAGAAGAGCUUGGUCCCAUGCGUUCUUGCCUUAUUUUCCUUUUAAGUUCACAAAAUGCUUUUAAAUCUGGUGUAGAUUUUUACUAAAUUAACUCCCAUCAAAGAGAUUCUCACUAAACGCUGAUUGGUUAUUGAGAAGGUACUCUACCAAAGUGCACUUCAGGAAGCAUAACCAACCUUAGGGCCUUGUCUAGGGGACUCUUGCCUUGGUACAGUUGAUUUCUGUGGGAGUGGUGUUGAGGUGAUCCAAUGAUUAGUUAGGUGUUAUAAGAGGCCUAGACAUCCAGCUUCAUUAGGAUGAAUAAAUGGUAAACAUCACUGAUGUAGUUUAUUUCAUUUUAUUUUGCUUUUUGGUAUGGUUGUCUCUGAUGAAUCUUGUUAAGAUAUCCUAUAUCAUUAACUUAUGGGGGUUUUGAUAUAUAUCAUCAGAGACAACCCAUACCAAAAAGCAAAUAAAAUGAAAUGUUUAGACUCCUCUCACCUAAUAAUUUAAUCUUUUGCGUUCGGAAAUGGUUUCAGAGCCAUGUUCUGUCUUAAUUUAUUUCUGUGCGUGACUCCUUUUCAUCAAUUCUGUGUGCACUUCUCAGACCGGUUUUCACUUGAGAGGUCUUAAAAUAUUCAACAGUGCUUAUUUAUGUGUUUUCAAAUACAUUUCAUCUUCCACUACUUAGUAACUUAAAUUUUGGGUUGGAUAUUCUAACAUAUAUAAUUUUCUUUACUCUCUUCUAGGAUGAUAAGAAGCUUUACAUAUUCCUUGAGCUCAUGACUGAAGGUUCACUUGAAACACUUUAUCGCCAAUAUAACUUGAGUGAUCUCCAAGUCUCUGCAUACACUAAGCAGAUUCUAAAUGGUCUAAAGUAUCUUCAUGGCCAGCAUGUGGUACACAGGUAUAAGAAAGAUGCUCGACCUUGCUUUAUUAGCUUUUACUAAUUGAAAUGAUGAUUUGCACUUAUCAAUUCUGAUGGAAGGUUGAUUUUGUUAAGGAAAGAAUUCAUAACAAAACAAAGAGCACAGUGAAACUUAUAUUUUUGUUUCAUGGCUCACCCGCUUGGUGCCUUUUGAUGAUACUUAUUUUUACCUACCCAAAUAUCAUUCUGGAAAUAAGGGAGUCGUCCAAUCCUUGAACCAAUAUGUAGUGUCAUGAGAAUGAUUUUGUAGAGUAGCUUAGACAAGAUUAUCUUACUAUGUGAAUGCUUGAAGGUGGAAAUGUGAAUUUGCAAUAUUGGUAACUGUGCGGGCGAUUAUAACUGUUUGUAUAUUCUAGGCACGGCUAUGCUGAAUUCUCAUGCUUCCAGUUCCUCCAAUCUGUAGGGAUAUUAAAUGUGCUAACAUAUUGGUUGAUGCAAGAAGUUGUGUGAAACUUGCAGACUUUGGAUUGGCAAAGGUAUGUCUCAUCAGCGAAAGUGAACUCUCUCUCUCUCUCUCUCUCUCUCUCUAUCUUGGGGGGCUCGCACAUGUGCGAUCAACAAAGAUGCAUGUACAGCUACAUGCGUGUGCAGGAAUUUUCACAGGCAUUGAAGUAGUGCAGCACACAUACAAUUGGAUGAGUGCAUGACAAACACACGUAUAGACAUGCACAAAGUGACAUAUAUUGUCCUUUACUUUUCUAAAAUGACAUAUCAACUUUCUGUGUUUAUUCAUACAGGUAAUCAAAAAGAAUGAUGCUAAAUCCUCCAAAGGAAGUCUUCGUUGGAUGGCACCUGAGGUUUGCACCGUCUGCUGCCAUUUUUUUUGGCAUACUUUAAUUAGUUGUGUUGCAUGGCUUUUACUUUUCUUUCAUCCUUGUUGGUUGUGAAUGCAGGUCGUCAAUCCAAAAAACAAAAGCUAUGGAUCGGCAGCUGAUAUUUGGAGCCUAGGGUGCACUGUUUUAGAGAUGUUAACCCGCCGGUAUCCAUAUUCCCACUUAGAAGAAGUAUGUAAUUAAGAACCUUCAUUUCAUGUUUUAUAUCCUUGAGAUCUAUGUUUUGCCAGAAUUAUUAACUAGUUGCAACUUUUUUGUUAUUGCUACAUUUUAUGUGAGCUUGCUAAGUUAAGCGCAUGUUGUGACGAGUCAAUUCGGCCAGCAUUCUGAGAAAAAGAAAAUGAGCAGGAGCACUACGUAGAGAAGAGAGAGGACAGAGAAUUCAAUGAUAUUUAUCAAGAUUAUCGUAAUGUCAAAGGAUAUGCAUAGUAUUUAUGGCCAACAGUUGCUUGAAACUCUGGAGCAAAUGGUUAUGUAACAUGGUCUGAAACCUCUGUUGAAUGUCUGAAUUCUUGACUUUCUCAUUUAAAUUAUUUGGCAUNNNNNNNNNNNNNNNNNNNNNNNNNNNNNNNNNNNNNNNNNNNNNNNNNNNNNNNNNNNNNNNNNNNNNNNNNNNNNNNNNNNNNNNNNNNNNNNNNNNNGCAUAAGUUUAGAUAAUCUCAUACUGACAUCUGUAUAUAGUUCCCCACCAAUAGAUAUGGGGUAUGCAUAUAAUCCUAACAUUCAGGCUCAAAACUCUCUCCACCUUCUCCUUCAAUGUCACAUGGUACUUGAGCAGCCGAGAGAGACUGAAAUCCUAAUAUUGGCAUCGCAAUCUGUGCUCCAGAGCAGCACUCACAGUGAUUGCUUCAUCUUCCCUAGUGUGUCCUUUAAUUGUGUGGUUGUCCUCUAAUCUGUCACUUGCCACUAUCAACUUUGGUGUUUCUGCCAUUGCCCUUGAGUGUUGAUCCCUCGCUGCUCUUCUUUGGAUAAAUUGUUGACCUAAAUGGUUGUCUCCUCUGCUAGAUUUUGUCACUUUCGAUAUUAAUCGUAAAUUCUCCGUACUUGUAGUAAGGUUUCCAUCUGGGAUGGUAUUUACUGGCUCUAGCCAGCAAAUUACUUUAUGAUGUUAUCCCCUUUUUAGGCAUGACAGCAUUGAAACGCCCUUUUGAUGAUAGAAUGGCUGCUGCUGAAGUUUGGAGUGCUCUUGUCUUCCUAGUGAAUUGCGAACGUUGCACUGCUCUCAUGCUCAUUUUGGAUUUAUUUAUUAUAAUGGAGAAAAAAAAUAAUACCAUCCUACUCAAAGCCAUUGUAAAAACAUGCAACUAACACCCCUUUUCUUUUUUACUUUCUUUCUAAUUUAGGACACUAUAAAUUUUGAGCAAAAAGUAAUAUAUACUUCUGCUUUAUUGGGAGCAGUUGGAAAACAUUAAUGUUGUUGGUCCUUGUGAACUGUUUACCUGUCAUCCAUGGUCUCCCACUUAAGCAAUAACUGUGAUUCUAGAACGAUUUGGUAGAUGAUUGCCUGAAGCAUGAUGCACUUAUAUUUGUCUACAUAUCUUAUUGAUUUAUGCAGCUAUCACAUGUUAGUUCCCCCUGGAUUUAUGAUUAAUACUAGCCUCUGCCACGUUCUCUCUCUUAUUGUGGCAGGCGCCAGCAGUGUUCAAAAUUGGCCAGGGUGAACUUCCUCCACUUCCCCCUUCUUUAUCAAGAGGUGCAGAAGACUUCAUCUUAAGUUGCUUGGAAGUAAACCCGAAUAAGCGGCGUUCUGCAGCGCAGUUGCUAGACCAUACCUUUGUGAGGGAGCCACCUACUCCUGGUUGUGCCUCACCUUGUUUCAACAACAUGUUUUGCUAGGCCAUCCCUUUUGGUCCAUUGCUGAAGGUAAUUUUACACUUUCUGUUAUUUUGCUGUUGCAUCGCUAGUGAGAGUAUUCUUCUUUUGGGCUAAUGGCAAAAUAGCUUCAUUAACUUACCACAUUUCUACUGUUUACUCAAUAAAUUUAUAACUUUUACUGGUCUGCACUAAACUUUUAACUUGGAAUAAAUAGUCCGCAGUCUAUGUUCGGUUUCCCAAUUCACUUACAAACAUUUCACAUUUUACCGCUCUCUCCAUAAGCUUUAAUGUUUCCACCAGAUCGUCCUGAACCUCUUCGACAUAGUUACUUAGGGGAGAAGUAGGUGAAAUUAAUCAUCAAGCCAUGAAAACAACCAUAAUUGCAGUUUCCCUUUGCAUAUAUUAGAACUUGGGAAAAUUGACGGACCUCGUGAAUGGUCUUGACAUGAUAUUUACAAUUCCCAGAUAAACAGCACACUGUUUAAUCAUUACGCUGGACAUUCGGAAUGGAGAAACAGAAUGCAGCAAUAUUUAGGUUUCUCUGGUGUUGAUUUUAUCAUAGGCUUUCCUCUGCUUAAAUUGUUGUUAGUGCACUCGCAAUGCUGCUGCAAUUCUUUGAACCGCUCAGUGGUCAGCGGCAUAUUGAUAACCGGCAAACACUCCCAUGGCAGCGCCAAGCUUACGAUGUUAUGCUUUCUUUUUGCCAGAUGGGAGUGCCUUUGGCAGCGAGGGCCAUCUAAUAAAUCGGAGAAGAUUGUGGUACCUCGCAAAUGGUCUUGGGCUGCAACUGAUUUUAUGGCGUCUUUAUCCUGCUUGCGUUAACAUCUUGUUUAUCUGGGAAUUGUAAAUAUCAUGUCAUGUUGUAUAUUUCCCAUUGGAAAGAAGGGAAGGAAACAAAGAUGUUGGCGAUACGACGGCAUCUCCGAUGACAAGUUUUCUGCUUUUACGAAGCGUAGAUAGGUGCACAGAACUUAUACAGGAUUUGUAAUCAAUUAAAGAUUGGAUGCGCUUGAGAUUCGCAAUGGAAGGGCGCAUUUUGUUUACUUUUUAUUUGUUUGAUAUGGGACCAUGUUUGGUAAAUUCAAGUGUUUUUUUUUUUAUUAAUGACGUGUCGAUGAGCGCUUGUAUCGUAUUGAAAAUAUUGCAUGGACAAAGGUUCGGUGAUGCAGGAGCAAAUUCGACAUAUAGGAGAGGUUUAGUCACAGCCUGCUGCCUGGACACCUUGGUCUGCUCCCCUCGGUCGCUGAAAAUAGUUUUCGUGAUACCGCUGGUCACAAGCACCAAUACGAAGAAAAUUAACUCUUGUUUGAGAACUCUUGAGUUCAAAUGAUAUCAAGGUUUCUUUCGACAAAAAAAUUAAAAAAAAAAAAGAUAAUAAAAAGGCUGAACUUAAUCCUAAUCUGACCCUAAUUACAGUCCCAUAAUCACCGUGCCACUGCUUGAUCUCGCCCCCACAAAGCCGUAGCCGUUGCUCCAUAUCGACACCUCCAUCAGCACGUCCCUGUCAUCGCCAUCCCCAUCUCCACUUGAUCAUUCGGCCGUCAGGAUGAUUUCGCUGUUUCACAUCUAUCAAUCACGGCCCCUCUUUCUGGUUUCUGUCGAUCUCUGAAAUUAAGAGCUUGAUAGUGGAGUUUUACUAUGUUUCAAUCCACUGUAAAAAAUUUUGACAAUUAAGGCACCCUUUACUCCUAGCGUUUAAAAUCAACCCUUAAAUUUCUUCAAUUUGUUGGAUAUUCUCACACCAUGAAGUAAUCAAAGAUGCUCUAUUCUCAGAUCAUGUCUAAAAGCAAUUCUCAGAGCACAAAAUACCCUACUAUUGCUUUUAUUGUACAUGAAGGUGUAUUCCAAGUUGGAAGUGAAGAUUGCAUAUGAAGAAACAUCCCUUCCGGCAUUAUGUCAACUCACUUGAACCUUAGAAUUGGUGCGUCAAGAAUUAGAUUGUAAUGCCUCAAAUAUGGCUAUAAAUCAACCCUGCAAAGUUUGACAGGAUGGCUGAUUCAUUUUGAAAUGAUGGCGAGAGGACUUUUUUUUUUUAUUUUUUUGGUAGGAAGAAAAUUUAUUCAUUUAAGUAGAUACUCUGAAGUGUCCCAAACAAGGUGAAUCUAAACAUAAGAGAGCCCAUAGGGCUUGCGGGGGAACAUAAAACCAAUUCUGUGGAAGAGAACCAAGAUACUUGUGUUUAGCAAUCCAAUCUUCCACUACAUUUGAGGCCCGCAGACAAUGGGCAACGCUGAUUGAGGGGUGGGCCUUGAGAAAUUGAAGACGGUCAUUGAUUAGGAGACGUUCUUCCCAUCUGAACUGAUCUACAGCCCCACUUAUCAAGGUUUCAACUAAAUCCACGCGAUUAGAUUCUAUAGUUAUCAGAUUUGGAGAGCUCCAAGUACGACUGGGGUUUUAGCUUGAGAUGCCGAGGAGACCUUCACUGAUUUAGCAGUAACAAUCGCUCCCUUGUAAUCUCGACAUAUACCAGUUAUGGCGCCAUCCACAGAACCAUCAACAGAGGAAGCAUCAACAUUAAUUUUCAGAGCUUUGUUCCUAGGUGGCGCCCGGGCCUUCAACUCAGCAAAGGUAGGAUUUUUCCUCGAUUCCGAUUUUUGCGAGUUCCAUUUUCUGUAGUUUGCUUGCAAGAAUAACGAUGAUUCAACCGUUUCUUGUGAGUUUAGAUGUUUGCCCUGAAAAAUGAAAUUGUUUUGGGCUUUCCAAAUGCUCCAUAAAGAGGACGCCACCAAAGACACGGGAAAAAUCAGCCCCUUCUACGGCAAAUUCCAUUAGCCAUGCCUUAAUCCUCGUGAUCUUCUUGUAGUUGGUUUGGAUCUUCAUAUUACUGUCAGCCCAGAUACCUUGAGUCGAGGGGCAAAGUAUAAAGAUGAGCUCGAUCUUCUCCUUUUCCCGUUGAUAGAGGGGGCAUAUCGGGUCAGGUAUGAUAUUCCUCUUCCAUAGGUUCUCUUUUUAGGGGAUUGCAUUUUUACAAAGAGACCAUAGGAAAACUUUACCUUAUGGAAGGCCUGCAUGUCCCAUAUAGCUUUCCAAAGUGUUUUGGGAUUUUGGUAUGAAGAGGAAGCUUGUUUAGGAUUGCGCUUCUGUUCAAUCUCUUUUCUGAUCAUGUUGUAGACGUUUUUAACAGCAUAGCUACCUGAUUUGGUUCCUAACCACACCAAUUUAUCCUACGCAUAGUAUGCUCUAACGGGGAUUGUUUGAAUCUCCUGCACUAAUUGCUCAUCAGAAAGAUCCUCUAGCUUUCAAGUAUUCCAUUUUCCUUCCUCAGCCAAGAUCAGUUUUGCCACCAAAACUGGGUCAUUUCUGUUUGGUGAUCCCCCAAUUAAGCCACUUUUUAACCAUUUCUGCUCUCUGAUUAUUACUGAUUUACCAUUCCCAAUGGACCAACUAACUGAGUUGGCAAUAGGAUCCCUCCCUAAUAACAAACUUUGCUGUCCCCAAGAAGGCUUGGAACCUCUUUUAGCUUGCCAAAAAUCUCCUUGAUGAAAGUAAAUGCCUUUUAAGAACUUGUUCCAGAGAGACUUAGGAUUCUAUGCGAGUCUCCAUGCUUGUUUACCAAGCAUGGCCUUAUUAACUGAUAUAAGAUCUCUAAACCCCAUGGCCCCUUGGUCCUUCCUCAGCUUCAGAAUGUCCCAUUUUUUCCAAUGAAGUAUUGUUUUGAAAUCUGUUGUUUUCCACCAGAAAUUGGCAAUCCUUCCCUCAAUUGCUUUGCAAACUGAAAUAGGUAUUUUGAAAAUCGACAUAGCAUAGUUUGGAAGGGCUUGUGCCACUGUUUUAAGAAGAAUCUCCUUUCCAGCUUUAAAAAAUAAUUAUUCCUUCCAACCUUCUAAAUUAGCAUUUACUCUUCCAAGAAUCCAAGCAAACAUAUUUCUCUUUAACAUGCCCUAGUCCGAAGGAAUACCUAAGUAUUUGCCUGUGUGGCCAAUCUCAACUCCUUUGCCAUGUUUCUUGUUAGUAGAUGAGGACGCCCCUUGCUAAAAUAAAUGCUUGACUUGUUUAAGUUUAUGGCUUGGCCUGAUGCAUAACAAUAUUGAUUAAGUAUCGUCGAAAUAUUCUGGCAUUCCGUUAUGGUUCCAUCUAAGAAAAAAAUCGAAUCAUUAGCAACCAAAGGGGGUGAUAGUGUCAGAUUGAAUCUGUUCAGUUUGAUAUCCUUAAUAAUUCUAUUUGCCACUGCUUUAUUUAUCAUGAAAGAUAAAUAGUUAGCCACAAGAAUAAAAAGGUAUAGUGAGAGAGGAUCUCCUUGCCUAAUGCCUCUUGAGGGAUUAAAAAAUGGGAGGGAUUCCCCAUUAAACUUUACACUGAAUGAGACAGUUGUCACACACUACAUAACCCAAGUGAUUCACUUGUCUUCAAAACCCAUUUUGAUCAUACAAGCUUUUAGAAAAUCCCACUCUACUCGAUAAUAGGCUUUUUGCAUAUCUAAUUUUAAAACCGCUUCAAAUUUCUUUUGUCGAUUAUUGGUUCUCAACUAAUGCAGGACCUCUUGUACAAUAAAAAUGUUGUCUUGUAUUGGCCGACCACACACAAAGGCAAGGCACUUUGUUCUUCAACAAUCAAAUCAGUAGCCACAUCUUCAGUCUAUUGGCUAAAAUCUUUGAAAUAAUCUUAUAAAUAAAAUUGCAUAGGUUGAUUGGGUGGUAUUCUUCCAGCUUUUCUGGGUCAGGAUCUUUGGAACAAGAGUUAUAUGGGUUCUGUUUAGCCUUGGGUCGAGAAUUCCUGUUGCAAAGAAAGACUGGACAGUGGUGAGCACAUCCCUUUUUAUAAUAUCCCUAUGGUGUUUAAAGAAUAUACCAUUCAGCCCAUUUGGUCCAGGUGCUUUAGUUGCUCCAAGCUGAUAACUGCCUUCCGAACUUCUCCAUAGUCACUUCAGCAGUAAGUUUUUCAUUUACUUCAGUUUUGACUAAACAUGGGAAGUGGUCGAUUACCAGGAUAAUAUUUCUUGGCCCAACUGAGGAAAACAAGUUUUGAAAAUAUUAUGUUGUUCGCUGCUUCGACAUUUUUUCAUCCCUAAUCUACUUAUCAUCAGGCCCUUUCAGUAUGGUCAUUCUAUUUCUAUUGCGGCGCUGAAUUGUAAUAGUGUCUUGUCCUCCCACUUAUACCAAUUGACUCUUGAUCUUAAUCCUUAGUACAUCUCUUCUCUCCUCCAAAUAUCCUUCAACUCUCGUUUAAUACUUUGCAUUUUAUUCUUUUCAAAGGAAGAGUUUGAACUAUUUGUAAUUACUUGAAGUUCCUGGUUUAGCUCCUUUAUCAUACGAGAAUUGUUGGUAAAUUUCUGUUUACUCCAUAACUGUAAUUCCUUAGUCACCCUUCCUAAUUUCACCACUAUUUUCUCAUCUCCAUCAUCAUCCAUAUUCCAGGCUUUGGAUACAACAUCUAGACAUUCAGGAUCUUCCACCCAGAAAGCUUCAAAUUUGAAAUCCUUACCUUUUUUCGCUGGCUAAUUCACUAUAGAAAGCAGUAAAGGGCUAUGGUCAUAUCCCACCGUUGGUAGAGCAUAGGCCUCCGCUGCAGGGAAUGUAAGACUCACUAUAAAUUGCAAACCACUCGAUCUAGUUUUUCCUUCACAUAAUCAGCUCCUUCCCUAUUGUUUACACAUGUAUAAGCACGCCCCUUGCAAACUACUUCCAUCAAAGAGCAGUCAUUUAGACAAUCCCGAAAAGCAACUAACGAUAAUUCUCUGCCAUUCGUUUUCCUUCCCACAGAAGGCUAUCAAACCUGCUUACUUGCCUUAAUCUAUCCCAAAUAAGUAGUCUGUCUUUAAAAUCAUUUGGGGCAUGAACAAAAGAAAUCCGCAUUCUGACCUUAUCAGCAGGAACAGUAAAUAAGACGUUAAUCAUCUCUGUUGAUGCCUAUUCAACAUCAAACGAUAUGUCAUCAUUCUACAAAACAGCAAGUCCCCCUGUAAUACCGAUCGGUUUCACAGCAAAACAGAAAUUAAAUUUUAAUCUUCAUGGCCGAUGAUAGUACCAUUAUACACUUGGUCGCCUUACUGGCUUUGCCCUACUGUUCACGAAUGCUUGUCAAGCAAACGACUGUAAUGUUUGGACUUUAGGACAUGUUGAAUAGAUCAUAUUUACAUUUUCUUGUCCUCAAAUAUAGGUAGAAGACUAACUCGUCUUUUCCUGUUCUAGGAGGAUAAAAUGGAGAAAGAUUCAGAGAAUGAAAAAAGGAAAAUGACUGAUCGAUUGUUCCAUAGGCAUAGUACAACGUAUCUGCAAGCCCUUGUGAUUUUUUCAAGAGAGAAGUCUUCGGAGGCAGACAGGAUAAGUACAUUGUCGUGCAUAAUGAUGCAGACAUGGUGUCAGGAAAAACUGAGUGGAUCUCUAUGCAUUAUGUUUAAGGGAAUAAAAGCUAAAUCGAUGGCUCCAAGGGAAUACUUGCACUCUUCUUCAUAAACUCAAGUGCAUUGUGGUCGAGGGAUAGGUUUCCUGGACAUAGGAAUGCUGUUUGCAUAUGGAAUCUACUCUGCUUUGAGGAUUUGCUAACUGUCCAUCCGUUGAGAGGUAAGUCAUUCCCUUUGUGAGCAUCAGAUCGCUUGCCACAUUUGAUACAUUUAUCUCAGUAAAGGAAUGAUUCUACCAAUUUUUUUCAAAUAACUGACGGGUGUAAAAAACCAAGAGGAGAAAUGAAGAAAAAAACAAGCACAAGUAGGCAAUUUAACAGUGAUCAUUAAAUCAAUCUAGCACGAGCUCCUCCAAAAUCUGUCCAGAUAACAAACACGUGCAAUGCUUGGUCCUAGCAUUACACUGUCACGGAUGACUAGAUAUAAUAGGAGAAAGCAUUUGUCUUUCCGUUGCCAAUGUUUAUGAGGUGGACAAAACUUAUGGUAGAAGAGACUAAUUAGAUGAUACCCGCAAGCAAUUCUACUUUCUUCUAGGAGGAAAUUUUAGUGGCAGAAGCAAAGGGCACAGACUACUGACUAUGUCAUCUCAAUUCUCAAGAGUUUGUUCAACUAAUUUUAGUUCCACCUUCACUUUGCCGGCACUGCGUCUGACCUCUUCUGGUAGCGCCGCUCUCCAGAUUUGGCUGUCGAUGGCCCAACGCAUUCAAGGCUGCUGUUAGCAUAUAGUUCGUCCUUGGCUGUCAUUAGCGGAGUUCAUCAUUGGCGUCACCCGACUUCGCUCAUCUGUUUUUAUUUGCUUGAGCUCGCAGUUGAUGGCCAUUGGGAUAUCGAGCUCGCUGUCAAGGCUUGCAGCCACGGAUGAGCCACCUCACGAGCCAUGGACGAGCAAGGCUUGUGGAUGAGCCAACAUAUUUGUGCAUGCGGUCAUGGUCAUGUUGGGAGGUUAGAAAUGAUCCUUCUUUUUCCUUUUUGUAUGAACUCCAUGUGGUUGUAUGUGGUCGGGCCUCAAACUCAAUCUAUGCGAGAAUUUCCCCUCCUGCGAUGCUUUUCCGUUUGGAUAUCUUAAUUCUGGAAAAAUUUUGCUUUCCGCUCCUACACUUUCACGAAUUUUUUUUUAAUCAACUUUUAAUUUUUCUAACCAAAUUUUUCCAUUUGCACAAAUUAAUUAAUCAAUUAUUCCAAUGCCAAAUUUGGGGAUGCGACUGUUAGACAACAUUAGAGCGUGAUGUGGGCAUAUUUUGUCAAUGUUGAUGAAUUCUUUUCUUUUCUUUUCCUUUUUUCCAUGGUAGCAUCUAUGUCAACAAAAUGUCCUGAUGUUGUUAGACGAUUAUAGCGGCUAAGUUUGGCCAAAUAUGGCGUUGGAAGAUCUUCAUUGACUAUUUGUGCAAGUAGAAGGUUUUUUGUUAGAAAAAUAGAAGUACCAGGAUUUGAUUAGAAAAAGCAUAGAAGCAGGGGACGAAAACUGUUUUUUUUUUUUUUUUUCUUUUUUUACUUCUAAUUAAUGACUAUUUCAUUGGAACGCUCUGUUUUUAUUUCAAGAUGGAGCAAACAUUUUUAUUUCGAUAGAGCUGUAUUUAGCUCUACAAGAUCAUGUAAAUGGACCACUUGUCCUGAAUAUUUACCUACCACUCAUAACAUGUCACUCUCCUUGAAUAUCGUCAUAUUGCUUCGUUAGGCAUUGCGUAGUUGCCUGAAUAUGUAUUUACUACUCAUAAACCUGUCACUUCUCUUGGAACUGUACUAACGAAGGAAGAGAAUUCUGCUUGAUUCAUCGCAUUGGUUGGGCCAAGCUUGAUAAAUACAAGAAUUAUUGGGCCUUAUAAGUAAGAAAAAAGCUCAUGGAGCACACUAACUUGUGGAUAAGCCCACUAUAAUAAGCCCCGUGACCUCAUUCUACAUUAUACAAAUGUCCUUUGGCAACGUAUGCCUUCUCUAUCUUUAUCCUCUCCUUCUGCCAAAACGAGAGGCUAAAGAUAAACGUCCGACCACUUCUUUUUUUAUUGGCAGUGCGAAUUCUUCAAAGCAUUCGGGUCUGUUACUGUCCAGUUGCGGAUCCGCACAAUUCGUGCAUCAACAAAGCUUAGUCCCACUAAUUAAAUUUUAUCAUACUGAUCUACUCUUCUUAAUAUUUUCUUCACAUAUCAAAUUAUGCAAUAGGGCAUGCCAUAUAAUGAAGAACUUGAAACAAAGACUUAUUUAUGUUGACACUUGCAUCAUCGGGUGAACUUCUAUCCAAUGACACCAACAACUUAGAAUUUGAAUGGAUCUGAAUUUAUAACUUAACUACGAAAUUUCAAUAAAGUUUUGUAUUCUGGUUUAUCGGAUAUUGGGAGCACACACGUAGCUCCUAUCUCUCUCUAUUAGAGUGCGUUUGGCAACGAUUUGGCUCCUAAGAACAAUUUUUGAUUAAAAAUGAUUUUUUUUAUUAUAUUUCCGGCAACAAUUUUUGAGCAAAAGAGCGUAUUUGGUAACUGCAUAAAAUUUUUAUUCUUAGGAUAGAAAUGUGUUUGGUAGGAUUGUAAAAUUUUUUUAUUAGGUUCGACGAGGCUCGACGUCGCCUAGGCGGCACGAGGUCGGCCUCGCCCUAGCCUGGCAAGGCCUAACCGGCAAGGUCACUAGCCCUCAUCUAGCCAGUCACCGGUCAUGGCCGAGGCCGUCGACUGGCCAAAAGGAAGAAGAAGAAAAUGAAAGAGAAGAAGAGAAGAAAAUAGAAAAAAAAAAAAAUUAGACUUGAUUUUAAGCAUUAUUCUCGGAAUCAAGAUGCAACUUUUCUUUACUUUUUGAUUUUAUUCCAAAUCCAUUUUUAAUGAACAAAAAAAUUUUAUUUUUGUUCUCGGAAAUAAAAGAUUUACCGAACGGAAUUUUGUUUUUUGUUUUUUUUAUUCCUGGAAAUACAAGAGUGGAAUCAGUUGUUCACGGAAUGUUAUCAAACAGCCCUUAGUUGCUCCACUCACUCCGUAUUUUGUUCUUCCCUUUUCCUCUCUUGCUUUCCGCGCUAGUCUCUCUCCCUUAUUUUAUUCUCUUCUUUACGCUCCCCUCUCUUUUUCCUACUCUCUCUCGUUUGCUUUCCGCGCUAGUCCCACAUGUUCCCCUCCUUUUGACUAAACUCUCUCCUUCCUUUUUCCUCCUUUUUUUCCUCCUCUUUUCCCCAUUGAUGUUGUGACGAAGUUUCUUAUGUUUGCAGUAAAGACUUAGCAUCAAAGGAAACGAGCUGCUGUAGCAUAAAGUUGAUUCUAAUUUGGGAUUGACCUUAAGUUCUAAAUGGCAAAUUCAGUUUACCAAAACGUGACUUGGGGUGCUUGGCCCUUAGUAGCUAGUCCUCCAUACUCUUUGCUAUCUCCAUUAUCUCAUCUUUAUCAGCAUUUUUCAGCAAUUAGCUUUGCCAUCCAAUACCUAGGUCAAACCUUGGUUAUUAAUAGCACACCCAUCCCACUCCACCGCCCAAGCUGUUUCUCCCGUUAAACUUCUCAAUUUCUAUUUUUGUUCCACACAAAAUUAGAAUAACAGAAUUUCUAGACGACGAUUAGACAAACGAAAGCUCCAAAUCAAAACUCGAUAGAUCCUAAUCUUAACUUUGAUGUUAAUUGUUGUAAAAUUAAAGUGGAAGCCAAUUGGGUCUUGCCUUUAAAUCAAUGUGAGAAAAUGAAAUAACCCAAUAAAUCAAUAAGGAAAAAUAACGAUUAUAAGAAAUUUAUGCGGUUCGAUCUGAAUUUUAUUCCAUAAAGAGAGUGAGUUGCAAAUGAUCCACUUCACAUGUUCAAGUUCUUCCCAAUAUUAGAUGACAUUUAAACCUGCGGUAUUUUGGCCUAACGGGGAGUUAACUCAUAGCUUGAAACGCCCGUCUCCAUAAAAAAAAAUGGCCACACCUUUUUUUUUUUCCUCAAGAGUAUAUAUGGCCCCUUCUUUUGUACGGCCGAAAGAAAUCCCACCUCUGUGCGCAAUAUAAACAAAAGUCUCCAAGUAGUCAAAAAACUUACAUACUUCUCUCCAAUUGAAAGCAAAAUCAAGUUUCGCCAAAUUUAAACAAAUGAAAAUCCUCCAAAUGGGUCGGUUUCUGUACCCAACUUAAAAUGACGAAGCGCAUGCAGCUUCCUCUCUCUUUCCCUCAAUUGCUCCGCUCCCUCUAUUUUCUUAUUCCCUUUUCCUCUCUUGCUUUGUGACGCUCAUUCUCUCCCCCUUACUUUCUUCUCGUCUUUACGUCUCCGUCUUUUUUCCCUGUCUUUCCUUUGUCUUCUUAUGCCCUCAUUUUCUUCUUCCGUGUCCCACAUGUUCCCCUCCUUUUGACUAAGCUCUCCCCUCUCUCUCCUUUUCCCUGUUUCUCAAUGAUUAGACCUCGUGUCGACGUUGUGACGAAGUCUCUUGAGUUUGCGGAACGACUUAGCAUUGAAGGGCACAAACUAUUGCAGUAAAAAGUCAUUCUGAUUUGGGAAAGGCCUUAAGUUCUAACUGGCAGGUUCAGUUUAGACAAACGCGAAUUGGUGUGCUUGGCCUUCAGUAACAAGUCCUGCAACUGUCUUGGAUAUUUAGGCAGUUACUAUUUAUCUUGUGGUUGUUGCUCAAGGAGUUUACUAGUAAUAUCUGUUGUACUCAGCUGCCAAUAAUAAUUUGCUUGAUUUUAUGUAAAGUUGGUGCUUUAUUAUGGAAUUAGGCCUAAAAAAAUUAUGCUUGGGAAUAUUUUUUGUGCUUGACAGGGACUUGAGUCUUGUCUGAACGGGGACGUUUCGAGGGCCGUCUUUUUUUCUUUUUUUUUUUAAAUUUAAGCAUCGGAGGUUGAUCCAGGAACGUCCAUUCUCGCUUUCGGGUGAGGGGUCAUUUCAAGGAAGCAGCUUCGAUGGAUUCCUUGAAAUCAGUACGUGCACUCACAUGAUUUCUACUUUUUAACACAAUCGAAGGCACAGCUCCAAGUCAAGCAAACACCAAAGGGAGACGAGAGACCUUUUGUGAGGGAAACCCACAAUAACAUGGAAACAACCGGGGGCUGCGGCGUCCGCUUCGAAUUCUCCAGCAAGGCAAAUUGCCGAUGGCAAUUAGGUGAUCAAUUUUUCAAAUUUACGAGAGUGAGUGAAAAAUAAGUUACGAACUUAUACUAUAUUUGUCCCAACAUGCCGAUGAGCACUUGUAUUGUAUGAUUGUACUGACAAGUGACAACAAUCAGGUUCAGUGUACACUCAGACAUCUAGGAGGGAAGGCUCUUGGGAACAAUAGUGGUGCUUUUUUUUUUUUUUUUUCAUUCUUGUUUAAUUUAGAAUUUUUUUUUUGCGCAAUGUUUAUAAGAGAGGUUUUGCUACAGCUUGCUGCCUGGACACCUUAUUACUUGAAAAUGGUGUUCGUCAUCCACUGGUCACAAACACCAAUAUGAAGACCUAAUUGCACUUAGAGAAAAGAAAAAGGCUCAACUUAGUAGCCACCGCCUCGUCAUCGCCCCCACAAGGCCGUAGGCACGUCCCUAUCGUCGCAAUCCCCAUCUCCAUCUGAUUAUUCGUCCAUCACCAUAAUUUCUCUCUUUUGCAUCUAUCAAUCGCGGCCCCUGUUUCUGAUUUCUGUCGAUCUCUGGAAUUAAGAGCUCGCGGUGUUUUACUAUGUUUUAAUCCACAUUAAAAUUUGAGGUGAGAAAUAGGAUUCUAACUAUCGAAGCUUCCUUUUCUCCUAGCAUUCGAAAUCAACUCUUAAUUUUCUUCAAUUUGUUGGAUAUUCCCACACCAUGAGGUAAUCGAACAUGCUCUAUUCUCACAUCAUGUCUAAAAGCAAUUCUCAAAGCACAAAAUAUGCUGCUAGUGCCUCUAUUGCAAACGAAACCUGUGUUCCAUUCCAAGUUUGAUUUGAACAUCACAAUAAAUCAAACCCUGCAAAGUUUGACUCGAUGACCGACUCAUUUUGAAAUGAGGGCAAGAGGACAUUGACGAAUGAACAAGACUAGAAGAAACUUCUGCUUUGUUUAAGUACCAAAUGGCACGUACAUAAUGAGGGAAUUGUGCAUCAAAAUCACAGAGGCCAGUCAGGUGAGAAGCAAGCAAUAAAACAGCAGUUGCUUAAGCAGAAAACAAAAAAUGACUGAAUAAACGAGGAUUUAUGACAAUUGCAUUGCUGCAAAUCAUUGAGCUCAAUUGUGCAGGCAAAGAGGCUAUUUUGCAUUCCAUAUACUCGUUGUAUAUGAGGAUGUAAACUCUUUGCGAAAAAAAAAAAAAAAAAAAGUUACACUGCGCGUUCCUCUUCCUCGGUGGGUAAAAGGAGAACUCCACCUUUUAUCUUUGCUUUUUUGAGUCCAUUUUUCUUCCCACGACAGACCUACCGACCCCACAAGUGAAAAUAUAUAAAAGACCAAAAGAAGACCCUCCUUCAUACAAAAUAUGAACAGACAGGCUAAGUUGCCAAACCGGUUAAAUUUAGAUAAUCGUCUCCAACAUAAAACAAAAUUAAUUUCCCCCACCCAAGAAAUCCAAAUUUGACUUGGACCAAAGCGCGUACCGAACUCCAACAAAUCAAAAUCCUUCAACCGGGUCGGUUUCAUACGCAGUUCAAACAGACAAAGCGCCCAUGUAGCUCUCUCUCUCUGUCUCUCUGUCUCUCUCUCUCUCUCUAAGCUGCUCCGCUCACUAUUUUCUUCUUCCCUUUUCCUCUCUUGCUUUCGGGCGCCCAUUCUCUCCCUUAUUCUGUUCUAUUCUUUCCGACGUGUCCGUCUCCCUCUCUCUUUUAUCUCUCUCCUUUGUCUCCUUAUGCCUCAUUUUCUUCUUCUUUGUCCCACAUGUUCCCCUCUUUUUGACUAUACUCUUCCAUUUCUCUCCCUCCUUUUUCUUUUCCUCAUUAGACAGUGAUUAGCGAACGAAGUUGCAGUCCAAUUUCUCCAUCAGCUUCAUUUUUUAAUCUUUUCUGAGGGCUAGUUGACACAGGUUAAGUUGAAAUAGAUGCUAUUGUUUUAGCAAUGUCUAGAGAUGGCGGCAACUUGUAGAAAUUCAUGAGGGUGGUGGCGUACCGUUCACAUGUUUGUCAUAAGCGAUUAGGCUUGAUGAAUGGACUAUAUUACAAUUCCAUGACUUUGGUCAAUUAUGUUGUUGUAUAAAAUUGCAUCAUAAGCAAAUGGUGUUCUCUUUUUCUGUUUCCUAAAUAGAAACACUUUUGUUAACAUGCGUGAUGCACUAGCUCUAAUUACAAAUUGGAAAGAAAAUGAGAUAUGAUAGUAUGUUGGACAUUGGAGUUCAUAAGGAUGUCAGUUUACAAGAUACAUGUUUCAAUAUUGAAGAAAUAAACUUACGUAUAAUAAUAAAGAGUAGAUAGCAAAGAUAAAAUGAAAUACAUUUUAGGACGAAUAUGAAUUGCAAUUUUUCUGUAUGAAACAUAUAUGCAAGAUUAUUUCUUAACGUAGUGUGAGAAGAAUCGGUACUACUAAGAGAAUAGUUCACAAAGUUAGGAGAAUUAUAGAGUAUAAUCAAUCGCAUGCUUAAGUGCUUCCCCAUAGUAAAUUAUACCUAAAACACUAAGAAUUAGUUCACAAAUCAAAAUACUUAAGUCACACCACAAAGAAAACGGAGGAUGGGAACUCUUUGCGAGGGGAAAAAAGAAAAGAAAAGAUCAUUGUGUGUUUCUCUUCCUCCGCGGGCUAAAAAAAGAACUCCAUCUUUUUCUUUUCCUUUUGCGCGGCUCUGCAGUUGAGGGGGAUGAGAAAAAUAAAACCCACCGGCUUUUCAUUUUUCUUCCUCCCACAAACCUACCGACCCUACAAGUACAUUUAAAAGACCAAAGGAUGCACCUCCUCUAUGCACAAUAUAAAUAGAGAGUCCAAAAAGUCAAACCGGUCAAAACUUAGAUAACCGUCUCUAACAAAGAAACAAAAUCAAGUAUCCAAAUUUGAUUAGAGUGUAGUGGAUAAUUUUUCAAGGGGCAGAAGUGCCGAUUUGGUAUAAACUGGUCGAGACUUAACAGGACCGUGGGACGCAGGUCAAAUCAGCACAAGAACCUGUUGGUAUAGGAACAGUAUACCCUCGGAUCAAAGCGCCACAUCAAAUUGGAACAAAUUAAAUUCCUUUCUCACCAAGCCAAAAAAAAAAAAACAGAGCCAAAUUCACCAAUUCUUAUACAUAAGUAGGGCCAUUUUAGCUAGUGAUAGUUAUAUGAGUGAAUUUGAUAUAAUUUAAGUUUGAUAUCCAUAAUUUGGACCGCAUCUGAAAGGUUCAACAUAAUUAUACUCUUUUCCCCCACCAUUGACUCAUCCUUUAUUGACAUCUUUCAUUGUUUCUGGCUACUUAGUCUUGCCAUUCAACACCUUAGACAAUCUUGGUUGUUGAUGGUGUAAGUAUCCUAACACUCUACAAUUCAAAGUUGUUUGUUCCGUUAAACUUUUCAAAUCUAUUUUUGCUCCAAUAUAAUUGCACCAAUAGUGUUUCUAGAGAUCGGUCAAACAAGCAAUAGCAUCAAAGCAAUUCCAGAAAAUCCUUUGUAAAAUAAUUCAGUAGUUAACAAAUUUUUGCAAUUAAUCAAAGCGAGAGAAUGAAACCACAGGAGAAAUCAACAAGCAACAAUAAAGAACACAAAAUGAUUUAUGUAUUUCGGUCCGAUGAUCCAUACUUAUUUCUUUGGAAGAGCCAACCGCAAAUAAUCUAUUACUUAAUUGGAGAAUUAUAGAGUUACAAUCUCUCCACAUACUUAAGAAUUUCCUAAUCCUAGAUUACACAAAAUCUUAUAGUAUUUAGUCUCACGCAAUUGUUCAAUAUAUAAAUCAUUAAAAAUUACCUCACGAAUUGAAACACUUAUGUAUCCACACAAAAAAAAAAAAAAUGCCUCAAUUAGAUGUCGAAUUUUCUGCACAAAUCACUGUGUUUCUUGCUCCUCUUAAAGACAGGAACUUUACUGUGUGGCCUUUUAGCUCUAUCUCUUGUGCAAAAUAGAGUCCUUCACUUUAUGCCUCAGUUAGGUCAAACCUUGGAUGUAUAUGUAAAAUCACCGCCCUUGGAUAUCUUCUUAACCAAAUCUUGGAUUAUAUAUCCAACAGAAAACCAAAUUAUAAUCGAAGGGCAGGCCAAAUCAAAGUCUAAAGACUUUUAACUUUAAGACUCAUAUCGAAACAUAAUUUGACAUUUUCCUCCACAAACCACAUUUUCAGAUGUUUCCAAGUGUUCGUGCUCGGUUAUAUAAACAAAAGGUGACCAAUUCAAGUGACGGAGAGGUGAAUAAAUCUACAAUGGCGAUCGAAUUCGGGAAUCUUGUGAAAUUGCGAGAAGCGUUGGAGUUUACUCAACGACGACGGGCGGUGAUGGGGUCUUUGCUCAACGGCGCACCCUUAUUUUAUUAUCGUCUUUACGCUCGCUCUUCUUUUCCCUUCUCUUUCUCUCCUUUGUUUUCUUGUGCCCUCAAUUUCUUCUCCCUUGUCCCACAUGUUCCCCUCCUUUUUUAAAAGGGUCAGGCUUUUCCCGCUCCUCAUUUGGCUUGUACAAGUCAUUCCACUGUGUUCUGACCAUAUUACCCCUUGCUUUUUCAAAUGUUAGCAUGCUCAAACGUGGUGCCCAUUGUUGUCCCUCUUUUUUAUUUGUUUCGUCUUCUACUUCCACUUUCUCCUCCUUCUUAGUCCGCCCAAGCACAGUCAAUUUAAGUUCUUUGUUUUGUUCUGCGUUUUUUUUUUUUUUCGUCUCUUUAGAAUUCUGGCAAUUCUUGUGCACCCCUAACUUAGACGAGAAAAAUCAUACUGAACGCCCAUUCCAUUAAUAACAUGACUUGGAGAAUCACUACGCCAAUCUUGCACAUUAUUAGUCGUUGGAGCCACCAAACAUUGAGUUUGCGCAUCAAAGCUGAAGCUGGACAAGUUGCUUGAGUAAUCAUUGACGGUGUCGGAGGUGUGGAGGAUCUAGGCCGGUUAGCGAACUCGGAGGUGUACUGGUGGUAGUGGGUGGGGGAAGAUGGAUGGCUUGGAAUGGGAGUCCACGCAGAUGAUUGCAGGUCUUCGCCGUUUUGAUUAGACGAACAUUGGACAUAUAGAAGAAGAAAAAGAAGCAAAGCGAGAGAGCGACGUCGUUUUAAAGUAUCUGGAAUUGGCGGAGCGGAACAAAAAAUUGGGAAAAAGAGAAAAAGAGGACUGGCUAGGUGGAUGACGAAAUGGACGGCGUGUCUUUUUAUGGGUGCCCAUAUCAAUGGGAAAUGUUGAAUCUUUUUUUUUUUUUUGUUAAUAAGUAAUUGAUUAAAUGAACUAAUUAAUUUAAUAAAAAAUGAUUAGUUUAUUUUCCCCUCCUUUCAAGCAAUGUUGGACGGACGAACUUACCUCAAAAUUGAUAUGCUCACGCAUGUGAAGACUGAUGUCAUAUUCACAAGGAUGAUGUCAUCCACGUCCAACGAUAUAAGUAUAAUUAUUAUGUAAUCACAUAAGAUUACAUAUAAUUGGAUAAGUACACUGGUGGGCAAAUGUUUGUUGAACCUAAAUAUGUAUGUGGAUGUGAAACGAAACUUUUAGGAUAAGAUCUUUACCAAAAAAAAAUUAGGAUAAGAUUAUUUUUAGCAAUCAAACUCUUAGUGAAUGUUUGAAGUUGGUCGUCAAAUUUCAACUUUUGUUCAAAUUGAUCCUAGUACUCUUUUAGGUGGUCUCCAACUCUCCAUGGUCAAGUAAUUUUAAUUGGUCUUCCCAAAGAAAAGCGUACGUGGCAGCAUUUCUUUUUUUGUUUUUUCCUGAUGGAGAAUGCAAGAAAGCCGAUCUUUGCAAUUAGAAGGUGACUUUUUGAGCUAUUUAUAGGUCUACAAGUACAUGUCAUCUUUAGAGACAAUACUUACAAGUGUCCAUGUACACAUAUAUAAAAAAUUUCUUCAGUAAUCCAUAGAUUUAGAACCUUUAGAAGAAAGAAUGUUACUUAAAAAAAUAAAUAAGCUAGGCAGAACUUAUUUAUAUUUUCUAUUGCGUAUAUAUUUUCUCAAUUUAACUUUAAUUUACAUGUGAAACAAAAAAAAAAGGAAAUUUGCUCCAGAAUCCAAUUUUUUGCAUUUUUUGUACUGCUAAUUUCCUUAUAACAUGUCUUUAGAUUAAUACAAUCAAGACAAAAACAUAGUUACAAGUUUACUUUUGCCAUAUUUUCGGAAUCAUGAGUAUAGUAUUAUGAUGUAUUUUCUUCCUCUUAUCAGUAUUUCAACUCUUAAAUUAUUAUAUUCAUCUAAGAAGUUAUAAAUAUUAUUAUUCAAACGACCUUUGACUCCUCCCUUGUAUCACAUUUCCUUUACCAUAGGUUAUUCAUAAUUGAAAACUUGCAAGAAAAUAUAUAUCCGAGUGAAGUGUGCAUCAAGUAAUUAACCAAAAAACCAUAAAAACAAAAAUGGAGCUAGUGUCGUUGCGUGGGCAGUUUUCUAAUGAAGUUACUAAGCUGCAAGUAAUGGUUUGCUGAAUGGGAUCAAUUGUUAUGGGUUUGGUUUGGCUACCCAGCCUAGUCUGAUGAUGAAUUGAACUUAACCUGCCCGUCCAAAAACAAGAAAAAAAAAAGUUGAAUUUCGGAAUAUUUUCGAGCUUGACCCGGGUCAAACGUCCUUCUCUGUUAACUUUAGGCAUCGGAUGCCGAUCCAGGCCGAAAGCUCGUAUAUCCGGAUCUUGCAUGUGGGCGCGGGUCCAUUUCGAGGAAGAGAACUUUUGAGGGAUUCCUUGAGAUCGGUUUGUGCAUUCACAUAUGAUUUCUACUUUCUAACCCUAACGAAGAGUUUGAUGAUGAAUUGAAUUUAACCUACCAGUAAAAAAUCCAAGAAAAAAAUUUGAAUUUCGGAAUAUCUUUCGAGCUUGACCGGGUCAAACGUCCUUCUCUGUUUACUUUAAGCAUCGGAUGCCGAUCCAGGCCGAAAGCUCGAAUAUCCAGAUCUUGCGCGUGGGCGUGGGUCCAUUUCAAGGAAGAGAGCUUUUGAGGGAUUCCUUGAGGUCGGUUUGUGCAUUCACACAUGAUUUCUACUCCUAACCCUAAAGAAGACGCAGCUCCAAGUCCGAGCAGGCAAAAACCAGAGCAAGACAGAGAGAACUUUUGCGAGGAAAGCCCCACAAAAACAUGGCAGCAACCGGUGGUUCCAGCGCGUUGGCGACCCGGUACGACGUGUUCUUGAGUUUCAGAGGGCCCGACACUCGCGACACCUUCACCGACUGCCUCUACCGAACCAUGAUCGGCCAGGGGAUCGCUGCUUACAGAGACAGCGAAGAGCUUCACGCCGGUGAUCGGAUCGACGAUCUCCUGAGAGCGGUCGGCGAAUCCAAGAUCUGCAUACCGAUCCUCUCCAGAGGCUAUGCUUCGAGCGCUUGGUGCCUCCGCGAGCUCGCUCGAGUGACGGAGCUCCAUGAAUCGACUGGGAAGCCGGAGAUCCUACCCAUCUUCUUUGAUGUCA